UNNGNNGNNCAUGGCCUCNGACGAACGCUGGCGGCGUGCCUAACACAUGCAAGUCGAGCGAUGAAGUUCCUUCGGGAAUGAAUUAGCGGCGGACGGGUGAGUAACACGUGGGCAACCUGCCUCAAAGUGGGGGAUAGCCUCCCGAAAGGGAGAUUAAUACCGCAUAACAUUAUUUCUUUGCAUGAAGAGAUAAUCAAAGGAGCAAUCCGCUUUGAGAUGGGCCCGCGGCGCAUUAGCUAGUUGGUGAGGUAACGGCUCACCAAGGCGACGAUGCGUAGCCGACCUGAGAGGGUGAUCGGCCACAUUGGGACUGAGACACGGCCCAGACUCCUACGGGAGGCAGCAGUGGGGAAUAUUGCACAAUGGGGGAAACCCUGAUGCAGCAACGCCCGCGUGAGUGAUGACGGCCUUCGGGUUGGAAAGCUCUGUCCUCCAGGGACGAAUAAUGACGGUACCCUGAGGAGGAAGCCCCCGGCUAAACUACCUGCCCACAGCCGCGGGAAUACGUAGGGUGGGCGAGGCGUUUUUCCGGAAUUACUGGGCCGUAAAAGGAUGCCUAAGGUGGGAAUUUUUAAUGGGGAUGGGGAAAUACCCCGGGUUCACCCGGGAACCGCAUUUCCCAAAUGGAAUUUCUUAAAUGGCAGGAAAGGAAAACGGAAAUUUCUUAUGGAGCGGUGAAAUGGGUUAAAAAUUAAGAAAAAAACCCGUGGGGAAAGGGGGUUUUCUUGGACUGUNACUGAAACUGAAGCAUGAAAGCGUGGGGGAGCAAACAAGAAUAAAAUCCCCCGGGAGUCCCCGCCCCAAACGAAGGGGGCUAAGGGGAGGGGGUUUGAAACCUCCUCGGGCCCCCCAAAACCAAAAAAGUACCCCCCCCCUGGGGAGGACGGUCGCCAGAAUAAAAACCAAAGNAACUGGACUNGNGNCCCGCACCACGAGACGAACACUNUGGU
Molecule: ribosomal RNA, 950 nt
Filed under: uncultured Clostridium sp.
Lineage: Bacteria; Bacillati; Bacillota; Clostridia; Eubacteriales; Clostridiaceae
Description: partial 16S ribosomal RNA
Rfam family: Bacterial small subunit ribosomal RNA
Source: RNAcentral